ACAAACCAAUUGCCUUUGAAAACUCCUUGAAAGCAAACAUAACCAAAUGUUUGAUUUAAUAUUAAUAAUAAAAAUAAUAAAUUUAAUUAAUAAAUAUAAAUGACAAUAAUAAUAAUAGUCAACAAUUUCUAAUCAUAAUAAUAAUAAUAAUAAUAAUAAUAAUAAUAAUAAUAAUAUCAAAAUAAAACAAUAAAGAAUAAAAAUAAAACAAAAAGAAGGGUGGGGCACGUACAAG
RNAcentral lists this long non-coding RNA (235 nucleotides) under Lathyrus oleraceus (garden pea). RNAcentral's name for it is "Pisum sativum (pea) long non-coding RNA (PSAT_LNC023952)". Lineage: Eukaryota; Viridiplantae; Streptophyta; Magnoliopsida; Fabales; Fabaceae. The record is from RNAcentral.